RNAcentral lists this ribosomal RNA (253 nucleotides) under uncultured bacterium. RNAcentral describes it as "partial 16S ribosomal RNA". It matches the Rfam family "Bacterial small subunit ribosomal RNA", at positions 524 to 776 of the family's 1533-position model. The record is from RNAcentral.
UACGUAGGGGGCUAGCGUUAUCCGGAUUUACUGGGUGUAAAGGGAGCGUAGACGGCAAUGCAAGUCUGGAGUGAAAGGCGGGGGCCCAACCCCCGGACUGCUCUGGAAACUGUAUAGCUGGAGUGCAGGAGAGGUAAGUGGAAUUCCUAGUGUAGCGGUGAAAUGCGUAGAUAUUAGGAGGAACACCAGUGGCGAAGGCGGCUUACUGGACUGUAACUGACGUUGAGGCUCGAAAGCGUGGGGAGCAAACAGG